AGGACGAACGCUGGCGGCGUGCUUAACACAUGCAAGUCGAGCGAGGCUCCUCCUUCGGGAGGUGUCCUAGCGGCGAACGGGUGAGUAACACGUGGGCAACCUGCCCCUAGCUCUGGAAUAACCCCGGGAAACCGGGGCUAAUACCGGAUACGACUUCGGCCGACAUCGGCCGAGGUGGAAAGAUUUAUCGGCUAGGGAUGGGCCCGCGGCCUAUCAGCUUGUUGGUGAGGUAACGGCUCACCAAGGCGACGACGGGUA
This 258-nucleotide ribosomal RNA is filed under the name uncultured bacterium. RNAcentral describes it as "partial small subunit ribosomal RNA". It matches the Rfam family "Bacterial small subunit ribosomal RNA", at positions 26 to 285 of the family's 1533-position model. The record is from RNAcentral.